GCUGAUGGAGCAAAGAGGCGAAUUCUAGAUUCAUGUUGUUGUUUUUUGUGUUUUUUUUUUUUUUGUGAUUCCCAUAGGGAUGUAUGUUUGUUUCCUUUGGAUCCCGUUGGGAUUUAAAUUUCUGUAUGCUCCAAGAGCUGAUGGAGCGAAGAGGCGAUGAGCUGGUGAGCCGAUGAGCUGAUGAACCGAUGAACUACGGGAAACGAUAGAGCAUGGAAGCCAAUCGUUGAACCACUUGAGGGCUGUGCUAUAUACUUUUCUGAAAAUUUCAAUACUAUCUCGGUUCAAUGGCUCCACGCCUCCUUUUUCGAUCAGAUCUGAGAACAUUCACUCCAAGCAGCCUUCACUCCAUAUUAGUUCCUCUUUUAGAUCUAAUUUUCCUCAUGUAGUCUCUAUCAAACUUGGUGGCGUCGGAUCUCUUAGCUUGGCAGCUCUUAUAUCACCCACCGUGGUAGCGCAUAGAUCAGCCAUCGUAGUGGCGCCUAGCUCAACAACAAUGACAAAAGUAUCUGAAAACAGAUCGCCAAGCAACGUAGAGCAUACAGGAACAGAGCUUCUUCAUUGGAGAUCUCAAAUGUCUUCGUUGAGGUCUCGUUGGUGCUCUCUCCGGCGGUAGAUUUCUUCAUCCUUUCCUCCGGCCAUGGCAUCGUCGUGAUCAGCGGCAUUUUAUCCAGCCAGCGGGGUCAGAAGCCGUCGGGCCUUCUUCCUCACUGACCUGCAUCUCGUCGUUUUCAUCAAACAAACGCCUGGAGAAGAAAUUUGAAGGAGAAGUUUUGUUUGCAAGACAUGGCUUCUCGGGAACAGGGAGCAUCUCUCUCGUCGCCGGAUCUGGCGGCGAUUUGUAGAGCUCAUCCUCGUUUCCGGUAGUAGCGUUCCGAUCGGAGAUAUGAGUUUUUGUAUGCUCCAAGAGCUGAUGGAGUGAAGAGGCGAGACGCCUCAUAAGCGAGACGCAACAUAAGCGAAAUGCCUCACAAGCGGGGCGCCUCACAGGCGAGACGCCUCACAGAGGGNAGGGACACCUCACAAAUGAGACGCCACACAGGGGGGCGCUUCAAAAAUUAGACGCUCCAAGAGCUGUUAGAGCGAAGAGCUGAAGAGCUGGUGAGCCGAUGAGACGAUGAAAUAUGAGAGGCGAUAGAGCAUGGAAGCAAAUCGUUGAACCACUUGAGGGCUGUGCUAGAUACUUUUCAAAUUUUUGUAUGCUCCAAGAGCUGAUGGAGUGAAGAGGCGAGACGC
RNAcentral lists this long non-coding RNA (1236 nucleotides) under Daucus carota (carrot). Its description in RNAcentral is "long non-coding RNA (DCAR_LNC002993)". Lineage: Eukaryota; Viridiplantae; Streptophyta; Magnoliopsida; Apiales; Apiaceae. The record is from RNAcentral.